GCACCCCAGCAAACCCUGUCCUCCAUUCAGUGUCGGUCAUGGGCAAUAAUGGUGCUAUAGUGACUCAAAGUGUAUCCAGGCGGACCUCCCUCUCUAUUGGAGCCUGUCUCUACAACUUUGGCACAAAA
This 128-nucleotide small nucleolar RNA is filed under the name Esox lucius (northern pike). RNAcentral's name for it is "Small nucleolar RNA SNORA55". It matches the Rfam family "Small nucleolar RNA SNORA55". Rfam says of the family: ACA55 is a member of the H/ACA class of snoRNA that guide the sites of modification of uridines to pseudouridines. The record is from Rfam by way of RNAcentral. Lineage: Eukaryota; Metazoa; Chordata; Actinopteri; Esociformes; Esocidae.